This 897-nucleotide ribosomal RNA is filed under the name uncultured bacterium. Its description in RNAcentral is "bacterial SSU rRNA". It matches the Rfam family "Bacterial small subunit ribosomal RNA", at positions 20 to 917 of the family's 1533-position model. The record is from RNAcentral.
UGGCUCAGGACGAACGCUGGCGGCGUGCUUAACACAUGCAAGUCGAACGGAAAGCGCUCUUCGGAGUGACUCGAGUGGCGAACGGGUGAGUAACACGUGGGUGAUCUGCCCUGCACUUUGGGAUAAGCCUGGGAAACUGGGUCUAAUACCGGAUAGGACUACAUGCUGCAUGGUGUGUGGUGGAAAGUUUUCGGACGGUGUGGGAUGGGCCCGCGGCCUAUCAGCUUGUUGGUGGGGUGAUGGCCUACCAAGGCUUCGACGGGUAGCCGGCCUGAGAGGGUGUCCGGCCACACUGGGACUGAGAUACGGCCCAGACUCCUACGGGAGGCAGCAGUGGGGAAUAUUGCACAAUGGGCGCAAGCCUGAUGCAGCGACGCCGCGUGGGGGAUGACGGCCUUCGGGUUGUAAACCUCUUUCACCAUCGACGAAGGCCCGGUUUUUGCUGGGUUGACGGUAGGUGGAGAAGAAGCACCGGCCAACUACGUGCCAGCAGCCGCGGUAAUACGUAGGGUGCGAGCGUUGUCCGGAAUUACUGGGCGUAAAGGGCUUGUAGGUAGUUUGUCGCGUUGUUCGUGAAAUGCCACAGCUUAACUGUGGGCGUGCGGGCGAUACGGGCAGACUGGAGUACUGCAGGGGAGACUGGAAUUCCUGGUGUAGCGGUGGAAUGCGCAGAUAUCAGGAGGAACACCGGUGGCGAAGGCGGGUCUCUGGGCAGUAACUGACGCUGAGGAGCGAAAGCGUGGGGAGCGAACAGGAUUAGAUACCCUGGUAGUCACGCCGUAAACGGUGGGUACUAGGUGUGGGUUUCAACCAACGAAAUCCGCGCCGUCGCUAACGCAUUAAGUGCCCCGCCUGGGGAGUACGGCCGCAAGGUUAAAACUCAAAGGAAUUGACGGA